Molecule: transfer RNA, 73 nt
Filed under: Zootermopsis nevadensis
Lineage: Eukaryota; Metazoa; Arthropoda; Insecta; Blattodea; Termopsidae
Rfam family: tRNA
About the family: Transfer RNA (tRNA) molecules are approximately 80 nucleotides in length. Their secondary structure includes four short double-helical elements and three loops (D, anti-codon, and T loops). Further hydrogen bonds mediate the characteristic L-shaped molecular structure. tRNAs have two regions of fundamental functional importance: the anti-codon, which is responsible for specific mRNA codon recognition, and the 3' end, to which the tRNAs corresponding amino acid is attached (by aminoacyl-tRNA synthetases). tRNAs cope with the degeneracy of the genetic code in two manners: having more than one tRNA (with a specific anti-codon) for a particular amino acid; and 'wobble' base-pairing, i.e. permitting non-standard base-pairing at the 3rd anti-codon position.
Source: Rfam by way of RNAcentral
GCCACGGUGGUCUACCGGUUAGAACGCUGGCCUUGUAAUCCUGGAGUCUCGGGUUCGAUUCCCGGCGGUGCCC